This is a long non-coding RNA of Equus caballus (horse), 1157 nucleotides long. RefSeq lists it as uncharacterized. The record is from RefSeq and is a predicted model, not a curated record. NCBI's taxonomy places the organism in Eukaryota, Metazoa, Chordata, Mammalia, Perissodactyla, Equidae.
AAUACGCCAUGCAAAAUUCAUAUUAAAUAAAAUGGAGCCAAGCAAUGAAACAACUCUGAAAUGGCCUAAGAAACUAAAAGGUAUUUGACAUUUACUUUUUUCGGGUACACGCACGGACUUCAUGUCAUCAUUGACCCUGGUUGCUUAAGAUCAUCAAUGUUUUCUCAAUUCCUGGACUGUUUUAUAGUCAACAGACCCAAUUAUUAAGUUCAAAGGGAAUACCCUAAAAAAGGCAGAGCAGAAUCAGUCAGUGUCAGCAAGACCUGCAGAAGAACAAAUAGAUAGCUUGUAAUAUAAAGAAAUUUAAUAUAAAUAACUUUACAGGCACACCUCGUGGUGUGUCAUCUAAUCUGACACUAUUACCAAAAAAAAAAAAAAGAAAUGACAAUGUGAUUUCACUACUAUGGCAUCCACUGCCAGAGCAGUCAUAGUUUAAGAGGUAUUUUUAGUGAUUUUUAAGGGCGAGCACUCGUAAAUUUCCAAAUCUGUGCUCCAUGUGACCAUGACAUAGCAGUUGGUCAAUUCUCCUGCUUGGUUUCCAAAAUUCUGACCGUGGGUCACCACUGACACAAACUAACGUCUAUCUGUAAGAAAUGAGAAAGAGGCAAUUGGAAAGGAGAAAAAGAGGGGACAGAUUGAGCAGAGAGGGUUCCCACAGCAAACUGUUCCUUGCUUGGAGUCAAGCAACUCUUAGAACGCAGACAGCAAAGACAAAAAGAAUCCGGUGAAAAUGCACCUUUUGCGUCCUCAAUACACGGCACAGACGGCGACAGGGAGGGGCAGAAGAUGCAGCUAAGGCUGUGCCUCACAGCUCAGAGAUGCUCAGGGCUGGAUACCGACUUGGAUCUCCUACCUCAGAUGGAAGCAAAUUUCCUUGUGAUGUUCCAGAAAGAAGCGUACCGCCAGAAAUUAUCAUAACACUUCCUACACCGGGAGCUGGAGGUUUUUUUACAGUAGGCCCUGCCCACCAGGGAAAAUAAACCAGAACAAGGAGAACGAAAUUCCCUUCCCACACACGAGUGAUAAUGAAAACAAACUAUCUACAAGGAAGCUCAGACAAGGAGUGUGCUACAGACCAGGCAUCAACUGAAAACAAAUUUCUUAUUCAGGAAAAUGUGCCCAUCAAAGGACGAAUGCAUAAAGAAGACGUGGUACUU